UGCAUGUCUAAGUAUAAACGCUUCUAUACUGUGAAACUGCGAAUGGCUCAUUAAAUCAGUUAUAGUUUAUUUGAUGGUUCCUUACUACUUGGAUAACCGUAGUAAUUCUAGAGCUAAUACAUGCAGAAAGUCCCGACUUCUUGGAAGGGAUGUAUUUAUUAGAUCCAAAACCAGCGCGAGUUUCCUUCGGGGGCUCGGUUGCAUGGUGAUUCAUGAUAACUGCUCGAAUCGCAUGGCCUUGCGCCGGCGAUGAUCCAUUCAAAUUUCUGCCCUAUCAACUUUCGAUGGCAAGGUAGUGGCUUGCCAUGGUGACAACGGGUGACGGAGAAUUAGGGUUCGAUUCCGGAGAGGGAGCCUGAGAAACGGCUACCACAUCCAAGGAAGGCAGCAGGCGCGCAAAUUACCCAAUCCCGACUCGGGGAGGUAGUGACAAUAAAUAACAAUGCUGGGCUAUCGUAGUCUGGCAAUUGGAAUGAGUACAAUCUAAACCCCUUAACGAGGAACAAUUGGAGGGCAAGUCUGGUGCCAGCAGCCGCGGUAAUUCCAGCUCCAAUAGCGUAUAUUAAAGUUGUUGCAGUUAAAAAGCUCGUAGUUGGAUUUCGGGGCAGCCCGGCUGGUCCGUCGCGAGGCGAGUACUGGUCGGCCGCCCUUCCUCUCGAAAGCCCCGACUGCUCUUCNCUGCAGNGGNC
This 689-nucleotide ribosomal RNA is filed under the name Agelas sp. BZAgtub11. RNAcentral's name for it is "SSU rRNA". It matches the Rfam family "Eukaryotic small subunit ribosomal RNA", at positions 52 to 731 of the family's 1831-position model. Lineage: Eukaryota; Metazoa; Porifera; Demospongiae; Agelasida; Agelasidae. The record is from RNAcentral.